GACGAACGCUGGCGGCGUGCUUAACACAUGCAAGUCGAACGAGAGGAGAAGGAAGCUUGCUUCUUUCGAAUCUAGUGGCAAACGGGUGAGUAACACGUAAACAACCUGCCUUCAGGAUGGGGACAACAGACGGAAACGACUGCUAAUACCGAAUACGUUCCUUAGGUCGCAUGACUUUAGGAAGAAAGGGUGGCCUCUACUUGUAAGCUAUCGCCUGAAGAGGGGUUUGCGUCUGAUUAGGUAGUUGGUGAGGUAACGGCCCACCAAGCCGACGAUCAGUAGCCGACCUGAGAGGGUGAUCGGCCACAUUGGGACUGAGACACGGCCCAGACUCCUACGGGAGGCAGCAGUGGGGAAUAUUGCACAAUGGGGGAAACCCUGAUGCAGCAACGCCGCGUGAGUGAUGACGGCCUUCGGGUUGUAAAGCUCUGUCUUCAGGGACGAUAAUGACGGUACCUGAGGAGGAAGCCACGGCUAACUACGUG
This 485-nucleotide ribosomal RNA is filed under the name uncultured bacterium. RNAcentral describes it as "bacterial SSU rRNA". It matches the Rfam family "Bacterial small subunit ribosomal RNA", at positions 28 to 507 of the family's 1533-position model. The record is from RNAcentral.